CGACCCCCAAAAUAAUGGUGCCUGUGACUUGCGACCCCCUCUUUCCCCGGAGGUGGUAAAGAAAAUCAGAAGGGUUUUAUUCGAAAUGUCCAGUGACUGUCCAGCCAUCAUAAGUCUGGUCUGCGUAGCCCGAGUUCUCAAUGAGCCCAUCGCCGUCCUUGUCAAACUUCAUCUCAGACUCCAUCACUGCCUGCAUACCCAAUCAAAACAGCAAAACUUUGUCUUUCCCUGGACCCCCAGGGACCAGACGCCUCUAUUCCUAGUGGCUUACACUGGCACUGUGGCAGUCACCAAGAAGUUUAGCAUAUGGGCAGUAAGAAAGUAAAGUAA
Alosa alosa (allis shad) is the source of this 330-nucleotide long non-coding RNA. RefSeq lists it as uncharacterized. The transcript is spliced from 3 exons. Lineage: Eukaryota; Metazoa; Chordata; Actinopteri; Clupeiformes; Clupeidae. The record is from RefSeq and is a predicted model, not a curated record.